RNAcentral lists this unclassified non-coding RNA (379 nucleotides) under uncultured Actinomycetes bacterium. RNAcentral describes it as "uncultured actinobacterium contains 16S-23S intergenic spacer region". The record is from RNAcentral. Lineage: Bacteria; Bacillati; Actinomycetota; Actinomycetes.
UCCGGCUUGACGCCGGCAGUCCCCCGAGAGUCCUCAGCUUCACCUGUUAGUAACACGGGGCAAGGGUUGCGCUCGUUGCGGGACUUAACCCAACAUCUCACGACACGAGCUGACGACAGCCAUGCACCACCUGUGAAGGUGCUCCGAAGGGAGACCGUGUUUCCACGGUUGUCACCAACAUGUCAAGCCCAGGUAAGGUUCUUCGCGUUGCGUCGAAUUGAACCACAUGCUCCGCUGCUUGUGCGGGUCCCCGUCAAUUCCUUUGAGUUUUAGCCUUGCGGCCGUACUCCCCAGGCGGGGCACUUAAUGCGUUAGCUACGGCACGGAAACCGUCGAUAGGUCCCCACACCUAGUGCCCAACGUUUACGGCGUGGACUAC